This 253-nucleotide ribosomal RNA is filed under the name uncultured bacterium. Its description in RNAcentral is "partial 16S ribosomal RNA". It matches the Rfam family "Bacterial small subunit ribosomal RNA", at positions 524 to 776 of the family's 1533-position model. The record is from RNAcentral.
UACGGAGGGGGCUAGCGUUAUUCGGAAUUACUGGGCGUAAAGCGCACGUAGGCGGAUCUGUAAGUCAGAGGUGAAAUCCCGGGGCUCAACCCUGGAACUGCCUUUGAAACUCCAGGUCUUGAGUUCGGGAGAGGUGAGUGGAAUUCCGAGUGUAGAGGUGAAAUUCGUAGAUAUUGGGAGGAACACCAGUGGCGAAGGCGGCUCACUGGCUCGAUACUGACGCUGAGGUGCGAAAGCGUGGGGAGCAAACAGG